Molecule: ribosomal RNA, 460 nt
Filed under: uncultured bacterium
Lineage: Bacteria
Description: partial 16S ribosomal RNA
Rfam family: Bacterial small subunit ribosomal RNA
Source: RNAcentral
CCUACGGGAGGCAGCAGUGAGGACUAUUGGUCAAUGGACGCAAGUCUGAACCAGCCAUGCCGCGUGCAGGAAGACGGCUCUAUGAGUUGUAAACUGCUUUUGUACGAGGGUAAACGCAGAUACGCGUAUCUGUCUGAAAGUAUCUUACACAUAAGGAUCGGCUAACUCCGUGCCAGCAGCCGCGGUAAUACGGAGGAUUCAAGCGUUAUCCGGAUUUAUUUGGUUUAACGGGUGCGUAGGCGGUCGGAUAAGUUAGAGGUGAAAUCCCGAGGCUCAACUUCGGAAUUGCCUCUGAUACUGGUCGGCUAGAGAGUAGUAGCGGUAGGCGGAAUGUAUGGUGUAGCGGUGAAAUGCUUAGAGAUCAUACAGAACACCGAUUGCGAAGGCAGCUUACCAGGCUACUUCUGACGUUGAGGCACGAAAGCGUGGGGAGCAAACAGGAUUAGAUACCCCUGUAGUC